ACAUUGUUUUGAAGAGAAAACAUGAAGAUUAUCACCGUAUGUAUUACAUGACCAAAAAUCCCAAUUUAAGUAUUGCAAUUGCUGCAGUAGCACUAGUUAUUACUAUUGUGGCAUUCUUUGUAACCUUUGUUCCUGCACAAGGAACCCCGAUCCGGUUACGUCAUAUUUAUAUUUGGACAUUAGUUGGUAUGUGUGCAAUUGUUUCAGUAUUACCGUUGAUUCUUUAUCGCUGGCAUGCAAAAUGGCAAAAUCAAUAAAAGCGUUCGUUUAUAAAAAGCGAAUGCUUUUUUAGUAGAAUUGUUUUGAGGUGACAAAAUAUGGCAGAUGCAAUGCAAGAUGCGAUCUUAAAUGGUUUGUAUGAUUCAUCCUAUCCUGGUAGUGAAACAUUAGGUCCAAGUAUUUUAAGUAAUAAUCAUGAUGAAAAAAUUUGGUCAAUUUUGAGAAACGAAUUAUAUAGUUGUACAGGAUUUACGUGGGCAGUAGCGUUUAUAACUCAAGAUAUGCUUGUUCCUUUGAAAGUUGUACUUGCUGAUUUAGCGCAAAAAAAUGUCAGUGGAACAAUAAUUACAGGAAGCUAUUUAAAUUUUAAUAAUCCAAAAGUUUUUGAAGAAUUAAAGAAAAUUCCUAACUUAGAAAUAAAAGUCGCAACAGAAAGUGGCUUUCAUGCCAAGGGAUAUUUGUUUGAACAUAAAGAUUAUCAAACAGUGGUAAUUGGUAGUGCCAACUUUACCCGAGCAGCGCUUCUUACCAAUUAUGAAUGGGCUCUGAAGAUUAGUUCAAAAACUCAGGCUGAUCUAACUAGACAAAUGGCACAAAAACUUGCUGAAUUAGAAAAGAAUAGUUUUGUUCUUACUGAUGAAUGGCUAGCUGAAUACAAGAAAAAUUGGAUUAAACCUGUAAGUAAUACUAAAAAAAUCGUUUCAAAUGCAAAAAUUGAGCCGAAUCAAAUGCAGAAAGCUGCUUUAAAAAAUUUAAAUUCAUUAGUAAAUGAAGGAGCUAAGCGGGCUUUAGUAGUUUCGGCUACUGGAACGGGUAAGACUUAUUUAGGUGCUUUUGCUGUAAAAGACUUUAAGCCUAAAAAAUUUUUAUAUAUAGUGCAUCGUCAGCAAAUAGCUAAAAAAACUCUUGAUAGUUUUUACAAAGUAAUUGGUGGAGCAAAGUCAGAUUAUGGCAUAUUAAGCGGUAAUCACCAUGAUACUGAUAAAAGAUAUUUAUUUGCUACAAUUCAAACAUUAAGCCAAGAUAAUGUGCUUGAUGAUCUAGUUAGAAACGAAUUUGAUUACAUUUUAAUUGAUGAGGCACAUAGAACUGCCGCUCCUAGUUAUCAGAAAAUUAUAAAUUAUUUUCAACCUAAAUUCUUAUUAGGGAUGACAGCGACGCCUGAAAGAAUGGAUGAGCAAAAUGUGUAUCAAAUUUUUGACUAUAAUUUGGCAUAUGAGAUUCGGUUGAGGGAUGCAUUAGAAGAAAAGAUGUUGGCUCCUUUUCAUUAUGUGGGUGUGCAAGACUAUGAAAGCAAUAAUCAAAUAAUCGAUGAAACAACAAAUUUACGUUAUUUAGCAUCUAAAGAACGUGUAAAUUAUGUUUUAAAGGAAAUGGAUUAUUAUGGCUACUGCGGAGAUAAGGCUAAAGGUUUAGUAUUUUGCAGUAGACAAGAAGAAGCGCAUGAAUUAGCAAAUCUUUUUUCUGAAAAAGGUCAUCCUGCUGUGGCAUUGACUAAUAAGGAUAGUGACAAAAAACGGAUUGAAGUUGUAAGCCAAUUAGCAGACGGAGAUAUCGAAUAUAUUAUUGCUGUUGAUUUGUUUAAUGAAGGUAUAGAUAUUCCCUCAUUGAAUCAAAUUAUUAUGUUGCGCAAUACUCAAUCUGCUAUCGUAUUUAUUCAGCAAUUAGGGCGCGGCCUUAGAAAAUAUCCAGGUAAAGAAUUUGUGACAAUUCUUGAUUUUAUUGGAAAUUAUAAAAAUAAUUACUUAAUUCCAAUUGCGUUGAAUCAAGACAAUUCUCGUGAUAAAGAUAAGGUCAAAAGAGAGACGAGAUUACCUAAUUUUAUUGAUGUUUCUACAAUUAACUUUAGUAAGAUAGCUUCUGAUAGAAUUUUAGCUUCACUUGAUCAGAUCAAAUUGGAUAGUAUGCGUGAGUUACGAAGUAGUUAUCAAGAAUUAAAAAAUAAAUUAGGUCGAAUUCCGUUUUUGUUAGAUUUCUAUCAAUAUGGGACAGUUGCUCCGGAAGUUUUUGCAAAUAACCACGGACUAAGUAGUUAUGCAACCUUUUUAGAAAAAAUGGGCGAACCAAUUGAGCUUAAUAAAUAUGAAGAUGAAGUAUUAAGUUUUGUCACUAAAGAACUACUUAAUGGUAAAAGAGCACAUGAAUUAGUUUUGUUAAAAAUGCUGUUGAAGCAAAACUUUGUUAAGCAAGAAGAUUAUCUUGCUAAGCUGCAACUGACGCUGAGGCUCGAAAGCAUGGGUAGCGAACAGGAUUAGAUACCCUGGUAGUCCAUGCCGUAAACGAUGAGUGCUAAGUGUUGGGAGGUUUCCGCCUCUCAGUGCUGCAGCUAACGCAUUAAGCACUCCGCCUGGGGAGUACGACCGCAAGGUUGAAACUCAAAGGAAUUGACGGGGGCCCGCACAAGCGGUGGAGCAUGUGGUUUAAUUCGAAGCAACGCGAAGAACCUUACCAGGUCUUGACAUCUAGUGCAAUCCGUAGAGAUACGGAGUUCCCUUCGGGGACACUAAGACAGGUGGUGCAUGGCUGUCGUCAGCUCGUGUCGUGAGAUGUUGGGUUAAGUCCCGCAACGAGCGCAACCCUUGUCAUUAGUUGCCAGCAUUAAGUUGGGCACUCUAAUGAGACUGCCGGUGACAAACCGGAGGAAGGUGGGGAUGACGUCAAGUCAUCAUGCCCCUUAUGACCUGGGCUACACACGUGCUACAAUGGACAGUACAACGAGGAGCAAGCCUGCGAAGGCAAGCGAAUCUCUUAAAGCUGUUCUCAGUUCGGACUGCAGUCUGCAACUCGACUGCACGAAGCUGGAAUCGCUAGUAAUCGCGGAUCAGCACGCCGCGGUGAAUACGUUCCCGGGCCUUGUACACACCGCCCGUCACACCAUGGGAGUCUGCAAUGCCCAAAGCCGGUGGCCUAACCUUCGGGAAGGAGCCGUCUAAGGCAGGGCAGAUGACUGGGGUGAAGUCGUAACAAGGUAGCCGUAGGAGAACCUGCGGCUGGAUCACCU
Molecule: ribosomal RNA, 3220 nt
Filed under: Lactobacillus acidophilus DSM 20242
Lineage: Bacteria; Bacillati; Bacillota; Bacilli; Lactobacillales; Lactobacillaceae
Description: bacterial SSU rRNA
Rfam family: Bacterial small subunit ribosomal RNA (bases 2251-3220)
Source: RNAcentral